This 663-nucleotide long non-coding RNA is filed under the name Populus trichocarpa (black cottonwood). Its description in RNAcentral is "long non-coding RNA (PTRI_LNC003494)". Lineage: Eukaryota; Viridiplantae; Streptophyta; Magnoliopsida; Malpighiales; Salicaceae. The record is from RNAcentral.
CCAAAUCUUUCUCCUAGCAGCAACAAUUCAAACCGUGUUGUAGUUUUCCCAGUCAAUGCCACCUUUUUAUUCUGUGCAAUCCUUGCAAGCCUGCGCCAUGUAGUGCCUUACGCUUUAAACGUGCACACACACAGGCUCACUUGACAUGCAGAAAGUAAAUUGCAUCUGCUGCUAUGGUAAUGGAACAUUAAUUCAAUUUGAAUAUUGGCAUGAGGCAGUGCUUCAGUAUUCCCGUAAGCAAAGAACAAAGACCUUAGCAGGAUUCGAAGAAGAAAGUUUAGUAUUUUAAGAGCUGGUCAAUGAAAGCCUCCACAGCACGUAAUCCCCCUAAUGACAGUGCUUCGGUAUUCCCGUAAGCAAAGAACGAAGACCUUAGAAACACGAUAAACAGGCCUAUCCCACGAUUAGACCUGAAAGUUAAACAUCUCUAGUCCACAAGGAAGAGAGGAAACCUCCAAACUGAUAAUCCUAUUGAUGCAAGAUAAGUUAUCCGUGCCCAAUGCUUACACUCGUAUGACUAGUUUAUUGAAAAAAAUAUAUGAAUAAGGGCAUGACUCCACACCCUCUUUCUAGGAACAACAGGGGAGAUGCUCUUAAUAAGCAUGCCUCUUUACCUAUAUGCUCUUUUCCUCCUCCUUUAAAGUUUGAAGUUUAAAAUAACAC